UACGUAGGGUGCAAGCGUUGUCCGGAUUUAUUGGGUUUAAAGGGCGCGUAGGUGGCUUUUUAAGUCAUGGGUGAAAGCCCGCAGCUCAACUGUGGAAUUGCCUGUGAUACUGAGGAGCUUGAGUGCGGUUGAGGCAGCUUGAAUUGGUGGUGUAGCGGUGAAAUGCAUAGAUACCACCAGGAACACCGAGUGCGAAGGCAGGUUGCUAAGCCGUAACUGCCACUGAGGCACGAAAGCGUGGGGAGCAAACAGG
This 253-nucleotide ribosomal RNA is filed under the name uncultured bacterium. RNAcentral's name for it is "partial 16S ribosomal RNA". It matches the Rfam family "Bacterial small subunit ribosomal RNA", at positions 524 to 776 of the family's 1533-position model. The record is from RNAcentral.